GCCAGGUGCUGUGGUGCACGCCUGUAAUCCCAGCAACUCUGGAGGCUGAGGCAGGAGGAUCACAAGUUCAAAGCCAGUCUCAGUAAUUUAGUAAGGCUCUAAGCAAACUCAGUGAGACCCUGUCUAUA
RNAcentral lists this small RNA (128 nucleotides) under Marmota monax (woodchuck). Lineage: Eukaryota; Metazoa; Chordata; Mammalia; Rodentia; Sciuridae. The record is from RNAcentral.